This is an RNA transcript of Solanum pennellii, 5158 nucleotides long. It is a transcript of the gene named ABC transporter C family member 13, with no coding region annotated. Lineage: Eukaryota; Viridiplantae; Streptophyta; Magnoliopsida; Solanales; Solanaceae. The transcript is spliced from 37 exons. The record is from RefSeq and is a predicted model, not a curated record.
AUAAAUCAAUCAGUCCUCCAUGCACUACUCUUUCAUUUUUUCGCUUUCCAAAUUCCACCGUUUAAUUACUCUACCCUUUCGAUGGAGUUGAUGAACCGCAUUUGCCCUGACUCUCCAUACGUUUGGAACAGCGACGGUGUUUCAGAGUGUUUCAGCAACUUAGUAUUAGGUUUUGGAGCCAAUAUCUUGACUAUUGUUCUUGUUGCUGCUAUAGGAGCGGGUAAAAGGAGUUCCAAAGAUGGAAAUAGGAUAUCCGUUCUGGCAAACGUUUUCUUGCAUCUGAUUCCUGCUUUGGGUGCAAGCAUGGCACUCUGUGACAUGGUUGUGCUAAUCAAAAAGAUGUUAGACAGUUCUCAUGUGCAGUAUCAUGAAUGGCUCUUCAGGUUUUCACAAUUGUCAGUUUGGGCUACCAUUCUGCUGGUCUUGAAGUCUGGGUACUGCUAUGUUGUUUGCUGCAACCCCAUCAUGUGUGUUUGGUGGAUGUUGAAAUUUCUUCUUUUAGUACCUCAUUUACAAAGAGAUUUUACUUCUCUUCAGGCUCUUUUAUGUCUUAAACAAGGCUUCACUGCUUUAGUGGAUAUAAGUUUUGGAGUUUUGAUUAUUAUAACCAGAAGUACAACAAGGCCUCAGAGUAGUAGUUGCAUGGAAGAGGAAUUACUUCUGCCCAGAAAAAUGGACACUGGUCAAGGUAGCUCCAGAGGAGUGUCAAAGGGUGUUGUAUGCAACUGCUGGAAUCUGAUAGCAUUCAAAUCUGUCAAACCCGUAAUGGAAUGCGGAGUAAAAAGGCAGCUUGACUAUGAAGAUUUACUUGAGCUACCCACUGAUAUGGAUCCUUCAUCCUGCCACACUUUGCUGUCAACAUGCUGGAAAGCUCAACAAAGAAAUGAAUAUUCUCAUCCUUCAUUAAUCAAAACAAUAUGUCGUGCAUUUGGAUGGCAAUAUUUCCGUUUAGGUCUUCUAAAGGUUCUUAAUGACUGUCUCAGUUUUGCGGGUCCAGUGCUUCUCAAUAAGUUGAUUCGCUUUCUACAGCAAGGUUCAAGAGACUAUGACGGCUAUAUUGUUGCACUGUCCUUGGGCCUUUCUUCUGUCUUGAACAGAACUCUAGUUGCUGACAGAAUUCUGAUGCCCAUUGUUGUCUUGCGCGCACACAAAAAAAGAAGAGAAAAUAGAUCGUUCCUUGAUACACAAUAUACUUUUCAUCUUUCAAAGCUCAAGCUCAAGCUAAGAUCCAGUAUCAUGAGUCUUAUUUAUGGAAAGUGUCUUUCUGUUAGUUUGGCCGAGAGAUCAAAAUUUUCUGAAGGAGAAAUUCAGACAUUCAUGUCUGUGGAUGCGGAUCGAAUUGUGAACCUGUGUAAUAGUUUUCAUGAUAUGUGGAGUUUGCCAUUGCAGAUUGGAAUAGCUCUCUAUCUCCUGUAUACACAAGUCAAAUUCGCAUUUCUUUCUGGAAUAGCUAUAACAAUAUUGCUAAUACCAGUUAAUAAGUGGAUUGCAAAUGUAAUUGCAAAAGCUACAAAGAGCAUGAUGGAGCAAAAGGAUGAAAGGAUAAGAAUGACAGCUGAGAUUUUAACACAUAUACGUACUUUGAAAAUGUAUGGUUGGGAGCUACUUUUUGGAAGUUGGCUGAUGAACACGAGAUCGGAAGAAGUAAAAUACCUUUCGACUAGGAAAUACUUGGAUUCAUGGUGUGUUUUCUUCUGGGCAACAACACCUACACUUUUCUCGUUGUUCACAUUUGGACUAUAUACUUUGAUGGGCCAUCAACUUGAUGCAGCAACGGUUUUUACUUGUGUCGCACUGUUUAACAACUUGAUUUCUCCAUUAAAUUCAUUUCCGUGGGUCAUCAAUGGGUUAAUUGAUGCUGCAAUAUCUUCCAGGAGGUUAUGCAAGUAUUUAUCUUGUUUUGAGCAGGAGACAAACAUGGAACAACCAACCAAUAGUUCGGUUUUCUCAUGCUCUAAUAAGCAGGACGAAUUGCAAGAUGCGGCUGUUGUCAUCCAUGAUGCAUCUUGGACAUGGUCGAGCAGUGACGAGAAGGAAAUAGAUUUGAUUGUGGAUCCUGUUAAUCUUCUUAUUCCGAAAGGUUUACUGGUUGCAGUAGUUGGAGAGGUUGGUUCAGGGAAAUCAUCCUUGUUGAAUUUGAUUUUGGGGGAAACAAGGCUAAUCAAUGGAUCUGUGUACCGCGAUGGUUCUAUAGCAUAUGUUCCGCAGGUUGCUUGGAAUCUCUCAGGAACUGUACGUGAUAACAUUUUGUUCGGGAAAGAAUAUGAUCCAAGGAGAUACUCAGAAGUUUUACGAGCUUGUUCCUUGGACUUUGAUAUUUCCAGAAUGAUGGGAGGUGAUAUGGCCUUUGUUGGAGAAAAAGGAUUUAACUUAUCUGGUGGACAGAGAGCUCGUCUUGCACUUGCCAGAGCUGUUUAUCAUGAUGCGGAAAUAUACCUUCUUGAUGAUAUUCUCAGUGCAGUUGAUGCACAUGUUGGUAGUUCAAUUCUACAGAAUGCAAUUCUUGGUCCUCCAAUGAAUCAGCAGACACGAAUCCUUUGCACACAUAACAUUCAGGCAAUAUCUGCUGCAGACUUGGUGAUUGUGAUGGAUAAAGGACAUGUGCAGUGGGUAGGAAAUCCAAUUGAUUUUACUUUUCCCUCUGAUGUAGCAUUCUCAACAAUCGAUGAAGUUAGCAGUUGUUCUGAAGUUCAACAGCAGGAUAAAAGAUCAAAUAUUUCAAGUGAGAUCCAGCAGAGAACUUCAGAGGCUGAUUUUAUAUGUACUCCUGAUGAAAAUCAAGGGACUGAUGAAUCAGAGGCUCGGAAAGAAGGAAAAGUUGAAGUCAUUGUAUACAAGAGCUAUGCUGUUUUUGCUGGUUGGUUCAUCACAGUUUUAACAUGCCUCUCUGCGGUUUUGAUGCAAGCUUCUCGUAAUGGAAAUGACAUGUGGCUCUCAUAUUGGGUUGAUACAAGUGGAAGAAACCAGAAACCAUAUUCAACAACUUUUUACCUGGCUAUACUCUCUCUCUUCUGUCUGGCAAAUUCCUUGCUAACUUUAGUGAGGGCAUUUGCAUUUGCAUUUGGUGGGCUGCGUGCCGCUGUUAAGGUGCAUGAUAGAUUAUUAGAGAAGCUUAUGAGUGCACCUAUUAGCUUCUUUGAUUUGCACCCAACUGGAAGAAUUAUAAACAGACUGUCCUCAGAUCUCUACACUAUUGACGAUUCUCUUCCCUUUAUUCUCAACAUUCUGCUGGCUAAUUUUGUUGGCCUCUUGGGAAUUGCAGUUGUACUGUCAUACGUGCAGGUCAUGUUUUUGUUUCUGUUAAUGCCUUUCUGGUACAUCUACAGAAAACUACAGCUGUACUACAGGUCAACAUCACGUGAGUUACGUAGAUUAGACAGUGUAUCUCGAUCACCUAUAUAUGCAUCUUUUACAGAGACUCUGGAUGGAUCAUCAACAAUAAGAGGCUUUAAGAGCGAGGAUCUUUUUCUAGUCAAAUUUAAUAAGCAUCUGAUGACAUAUCAGAGGACUUCGUAUUCAGAAGUAAUAGCAAGUUUGUGGCUCUCCCUGCGCCUUCAGUUGCUUGCAGCAUUUAUCGUCUCAUUUAUUGCGGUGAUGGCAGUUAUCGGUUCUCAUGAAUACCUUCCCAUCAAUUUAGGUACUCCAGGGUUGGUUGGUUUGGCUCUUUCAUAUGCGGCUCCAAUUGUAUCUUUACUUGGAAGCUUCUUAACAAGUUUCACAGAAACAGAGAAAGAGAUGGUUUCUGUUGAGAGGAUACUACAGUAUAUGGAUGUUCCUCAUGAAGAAGAUGUUGGAGGUCAUCCAUUACAUCCACAAUGGCCACAUCAAGGAUUGAUCAAUUUUGUCAAUGUGACUCUUAAGUACAAGCCACAACUCCCUCCUGCCUUGUGUGGUGUUUCUUUCACCAUUGCUGGGGGAACACAGGUUGGUAUAAUUGGAAGAACAGGUGCAGGAAAAUCAAGUAUUUUGAAUGCCCUAUUUCGGCUCUACCCAACAUGCGGAGGAUCUAUCAUGGUUGAUGGGGUAAACAUUGCUGGUGUUUCUGUCAGAUAUCUUCGUUCGAGCUUUGCUGUUGUUCCGCAGGCUCCUUUCUUGUUUGAAGGAUCAAUAAGUAAACAUCUCAGGAAAAAUUUAGAUCCAUUGCAAGAGAACAUGGAUUUUGAGAUCUGGAAUGUCCUAGAAAAAUGCCACAUCAAGGUGGAGGUAGAAGCAGCAGGUGGACUGGAUGUUCAACUGAAAGGGUCUGGAACAGCAUUUUCUGUUGGUCAAAAGCAGCUACUCUGCCUAGCACGUGCUCUCCUCAAGUACUGCAAGGUGCUUUGCUUGGAUGAAUGCACGGCAAAUGUGGACACUGAAACAACUUCAAAACUACAGAAAACUCUAGCCACCGAAUGCCAGGGAACAACGGUUAUCACAAUUGCCCAUCGCAUUUCAACAGUUAUGAGCAUGGACAAUAUCCUGAUUUUGGAUCGAGGGUUCCUGGUAAACGUACUUUCUUGACAAGCUUCCCUUCGUUUAAACUGUCUAGACAUAAGAAUCGAAUCAUAAGAAUAUACCAAAAGUAGCUGGUUGCUUUGACAUUUUUUAAGUCUCUUCGGGUUAAUUAUUUACUAUUAUACUUAUCUGGAAAGUAGGGGUCAGACAUUAUUCCUUAAAACAAAGAUUGUUGUUUUAAUGUUUGGAACUUGGUUUAAGGCCUACUGAUAUGAACAACCAAACAAGUCUUGGCACUCAAUCUAGUGAUCAUCCUACUGGUUGAACAGGGUAAUCCGCGGAUUCUUCUAGAAGAUCAGUCAUCCAUAUUUUUCAGCUUUGCCAAAGCUUCAAGAAUGUGAUGCAAAUCUUCUUGAGUUCUCUAAAAAGUAGUUUUGGCAACUGGAAGGAGCUGUAUAGUAGAUAGAGCUAUUCAGAAGCACUCAAAUCUUGUUUUACUUGUAAGUCUAGUAGUUGCUACUUGCUAACUUAUUAAAGUCCUGAACUGAUUUUCAAGUGUGAAGUUGUUGGUGUACGUUAAAUCCAGCAUCUUAACUCGAAAUGCAGCCUGAGUUAAUUUAAUAGAAAUUAUAACUUUUUCCUACGAAGUAACUAAACUAUUUUUUUGUUACUAUAAAGUCAUUGUAUAUAAUCUCUUUAAAAAUAACUUUGGCAGGAAAUCAAA